AGAGUUUGAUCAUGGCUCAGGACGAACGCUGGCGGCGUGCCUAACACAUGCAAGUUGAGCGACGAACCAGGGCUUGCCCUGGGGCAAAGCAGCGAACGGGUGAGUAACACGUGGGUAACCUGCCCCGAUAACCGGGACAACCCGAGGAAACUCGGGCUAAUACCGGAUGUGCUCGUCAGACCCAAGUCUGACGCGUAAAGGAAGCUUCGGCCUCCGUAUCGGGAGGGGCCCGCGGCCCAUUAGUUAGUUGGUGAGGUAACGGCUCACCAAGACCGCGAUGGGUAGCUGGUCUGAGAGGACGAUCAGCCACACUGGGACUGAGACACGGCCCAGACUCCUACGGGAGGCAGCAGUGGGGAAUCUUGCGCAAUGCGCGAAAGCGUGACGCAGCAACGCCGCGUGGGGGAAGAAGGCCUUCGGGUUGUAAACCCCUUUCAGGAGGGACGAAGGUGUGGCGGUGAGUAGCCGUCCGCACUGACGGUACCUCCACAAGAAGCCCCGGCUAACUACGUGCCAGCAGCCGCGGUA
This 528-nucleotide ribosomal RNA is filed under the name uncultured Actinomycetes bacterium. RNAcentral describes it as "bacterial SSU rRNA". It matches the Rfam family "Bacterial small subunit ribosomal RNA", at positions 8 to 522 of the family's 1533-position model. The record is from RNAcentral. Lineage: Bacteria; Bacillati; Actinomycetota; Actinomycetes.